This 429-nucleotide unclassified non-coding RNA is filed under the name uncultured Mycena. RNAcentral's name for it is "sequence contains ITS2". The stretch from base 1 to 154 matches the Rfam family "5.8S ribosomal RNA". Lineage: Eukaryota; Fungi; Basidiomycota; Agaricomycetes; Agaricales; Tricholomataceae. The record is from RNAcentral.
AACUUUUGGCAAUGGAUCUCUUGGCUCUCCUAUCGAUGAAGAACGCAGCGAAAUGCGAUAAGUAAUGUGAAUUGCAGAAUUCAGUGAAUCAUUGAAUCUUUGAACGCACCUUGCGCCCUUUGGUAUUCUGAAGGGCAUGUCUGUUUGAGUGUCAUUAAAUUAUCAACCUUGCUCGCUUUUACCUGCUUGAGUUAGGCUUGGAUGUGAGGGCUUUUCUGGCUUCCUUUAGUGGAUGGUCUGCUCCCUUUAAAUGCAUUAGUGGGUUCUCUUGUGGACCGUCACUUGGUGUGAUAAUUAUCUAUGCCUUUUGACUUUGAAGCAAACUUAUGGGAACCUGCUUAUAACCGUCUUCGGACAAUCUAUUGACAUUUUGACCUCAAAUCAGGUAGGACUACCAGCUGCACUUAAGGAUAUCAAUAAGAGGAGGCU